Molecule: ribosomal RNA, 447 nt
Filed under: uncultured bacterium
Lineage: Bacteria
Description: SSU rRNA
Rfam family: Bacterial small subunit ribosomal RNA
Source: RNAcentral
AGAGCGAACGCUGGCGGCAGGCUUAACACAUGCAAGUCGAGCGGGCGUAGCAAUACGUCAGCGGCAGACGGGUGAGUAACGCGUGGGAACGUACCUUUUGGUUCGGAACAACCCAGGGAAACUUGGGCUAAUACCGGAUAAGCCCUUACGGGGAAAGAUUUAUCGCCGAAAGAUCGGCCCGCGUCUGAUUAGCUAGUUGGUGGGGUAAUGGCCCACCAAGGCGACGAUCAGUAGCUGGUCUGAGAGGAUGAUCAGCCACAUUGGGACUGAGACACGGCCCAAACUCCUACGGGAGGCAGCAGUGGGGAAUAUUGGACAAUGGGCGCAAGCCUGAUCCAGCCAUGCCGCGUGAGUGAUGAAGGCCCUAGGGUUGUAAAGCUCUUUGUGCGGGAAGAUAAUGACGGUACCGCAAGAAUAAGCCCCGGCUAACUUCGUGCCAGCAGCCGC